UAUAAAAGGAGCUGAAGACCUCAAGCAAGUCGACGAUCCGUCCCACCGACCAGUCUACUAGUCAGUCUGUUGAUCUAUCGACCGGGACACCUGCACCUGAUCCCGCUGGAAGGAGCAUCGCCGCCGACCAGACGAGACCAGAGGACGAGGCCAGCAGAGAGACGGACAGCCUAGCGCCGACUCGACGCCCUUCGUCUACGGAUCGGACCCUCUGACCCGACGGGAGGAAACGUCGCGCUCCCAUAAGGACUUGCGCAGUACAGGUACAGGGACGUGCUAAUUGGCAGACUUAAUAUCGUCUUAUUUAAUAUCGUGUGAUAAUUGCAUAGAAGUGAAUUAUAAUAAUAUAAGUGUGUGAACUGCCAUCCGAGUCUGAGUCCUCUUUACCCGCGGUACCUGCUCGCGACAGCGCGGAUUCUAGACUUGGGACAGGAGAAAUUCGACUCAGUGCUUGCAUAAAUUUUGCUUUCUUUUUAUUUGAAAUAAGAUAACUGAUAUCUUUGCUGAGAAAUUCUUCAACUCGCCCUCCUAGGUCCUUUAUGUUUUUUGUAGUUUUUCAGAUAAGUGGUAGAAGGUAAGUCAAGAUAAAAUAUUUUUCCCCAGAGUGGCUUAUAUUUGGAUUUUUCUGCUCUGUUACUAUUUUUAAGAGAUUUCAAAGAUGAUCUGUUCUUUUCAUUUUUCACUUGGAUUCCACCCUGGAAGGGCUCUUUGCCGGGAUCCGCAUGGCUCCGCGGUUCAUGGCAGCCGCCCGGCUCUAUAUGCUGGGUCUGGGCGGGAGCCGCGCCACAGGGCCACAGGAAACAGGCUUCUCGGGGCUGGUGGACCGAACGGCCGCCACGCAGUAGGGAGCAGGCUCCGUGGGCCGAGUUUCCGGGGCUGGAUCCGGCUCGGAGGCGCAGCGGAGGAAGGGGAAAGCAGCACAGCCGCCUAGACAGUGGCGGUUGAAAAUUUGAAAAUUCUUCACAUGGCCGUAGGGCCGGUAUGCGCGCCCUCCCUCCUCUAGCUGCGCGCGCAGCGUCCCGCUGCCCGCUCUCUGGUUUUUAAAAAUUUUUUUAAUUUUUUUUUUUUUUGGUUUUUUGAGAUAGGGUCUCACUAUGUAGUUCAGGCUGGCCUUGAACUCACUAUGUAGCUCAAGCUGGCCUUGAACUCUUGGCAGUCCUCCUGCCUCAGCCUCCCAAGUGCUGGUACAGGCGUGUGACACCAUGCCUGGCUGAUCUACCUGUUUUAACGAUUGUUUGGACUUACGACCCUUUUAUUUUUUGGUACAGUUCUAUUCAUCUUGUUUGUAGAGCCUCAAUGUCUUUGUAUACCUUGUUUAUAAUAGUGCUG
Heterocephalus glaber (naked mole-rat) is the source of this 1329-nucleotide long non-coding RNA. NCBI's taxonomy places the organism in Eukaryota, Metazoa, Chordata, Mammalia, Rodentia, Bathyergidae. The record is from Ensembl.